GGCUCAGUGGUCUAGUGGUAUGAUUCCUGCUUCGGGUGUUCGAAAACCCUUCCAUCUCACAUGGGAAUGCAGGAGGCCCCGGGUUCGAAUCCCGGCUGAGCCC
Non-coding RNA from Xylariaceae sp. FL0594, 103 nucleotides. The record is from the annotation of a GenBank genome assembly. NCBI's taxonomy places the organism in Eukaryota, Fungi, Ascomycota, Sordariomycetes, Xylariales, Xylariaceae.